RNAcentral lists this ribosomal RNA (498 nucleotides) under uncultured bacterium. RNAcentral's name for it is "partial 16S ribosomal RNA". It matches the Rfam family "Bacterial small subunit ribosomal RNA", at positions 28 to 508 of the family's 1533-position model. The record is from RNAcentral.
GAUGAACGCUGGCGGCGUGCCUAAUACAUGCAAGUCGAGCGAACAGACGAGGAGCUUGCUCCUCUGACGUUAGCGGCGGACGGGUGAGUAACACGUGGAUAACCUACCUAUAAGACUGGGAUAACUUCGGGAAACCGGAGCUAAUACCGGAUAAUAUAUUGAACCGCAUGGUUCAAUAGUGAAAGACGGUUUUGCUGUCACUUAUAGAUGGAUCCGCGCCGCAUUAGCUAGUUGGUAAGGUAACGGCUUACCAAGGCAACGAUGCGUAGCCGACCUGAGAGGGUGAUCGGCCACACUGGAACUGAGACACGGUCCAGACUCCUACGGGAGGCAGCAGUAGGGAAUCUUCCGCAAUGGGCGAAAGCCUGACGGAGCAACGCCGCGUGAGGGAUGAAGGUCUUCGGAUCGUAAAACUCUGUUAUUAGGGAAGAACAAAUGUGUAAGUAACUAUGCACGUAUUGACGGUACCUAAUCAGAAAGCCACGGCCAACUACGUGC